ACGCGAAGUAUCGCAUCCACGGUCGAAC
This 28-nucleotide small RNA is filed under the name Bombyx mori (domestic silkworm). RNAcentral's name for it is "ovarian small RNA-4439". Lineage: Eukaryota; Metazoa; Arthropoda; Insecta; Lepidoptera; Bombycidae. The record is from RNAcentral.